This 49-nucleotide transfer RNA is filed under the name Emiliania huxleyi. RNAcentral's name for it is "partial tRNA-Ile". The record is from RNAcentral. Lineage: Eukaryota; Haptophyta; Isochrysidales; Noelaerhabdaceae.
UAGCUAAUAACUUAAUUGGUGGAGUUUCAACUUGAUAAGUUGACUGUUA